Molecule: long non-coding RNA, 593 nt
Organism: Cyprinus carpio (common carp)
Lineage: Eukaryota; Metazoa; Chordata; Actinopteri; Cypriniformes; Cyprinidae
Exons: 3
Source: RefSeq, a predicted model, not a curated record
GAGAGAGUUUGUUGGCACAGAGCACUGGAGACAGCAGUGGGAUGGGUGAGCAGCGCUGGGGACGAUGAAACGUGAAUUUUCCUGUUGCUUUUUUUCGACUCUGAUUGAUCGGUGUAAGUGGUCACUCCUGAAGAGCUGCAAAAGAACAAAUGGAAGCAGUGUGGAAGGUUCUAGGACUCCAUUCUUGUAUGGCUACAAAUAGUCCGACUGUAUCUUGAGAAUCUUAUCUGAUCAUGGAAUGAUCUUGAUUUUAUUCAUUUUGCUGUCCAGAUUCAAAAGAGAAGAAAAAGUCUCUCAUUUGUCCUAUGAGUGAAUUGUGAAGCAGAGUCUGCAGUGAGAGAGCAUUAAACUGAGGUGAACCUUGGCAGAGGCGCGUGCCCAGGAGCUGAUAUCCUUUAGGACAGACACAGGAGAAUUUGCCAUGCUCAUUAACACACUGAUGCUGGCACAGAUUACCAUUGCAGGCAAAGCCAUCUGGCCCCAGCUCAUAACCCUGCUCACAUCGACACAGGAACGUCCCAUACGUGUUAUAACACCUCUGACUGCAGGGGGCCCCCAUGCUACACUCAUCAACAUCUAAACACAACAGAAUG